Molecule: ribosomal RNA, 254 nt
Filed under: uncultured bacterium
Lineage: Bacteria
Description: partial 16S ribosomal RNA
Rfam family: Bacterial small subunit ribosomal RNA
Source: RNAcentral
CACGUAGGGUGCGAGCGUUGUCCGGAAUUAUUGGGCGUAAAGAGCUCGUAGGCGGUGUGUCGCGUCGGCCGUGAAAACCUGCAGCUUAACUGUGGGCUUGCGGUCGAUACGGGCAUCACUGGAGUUCGGUAGGGGAGACUGGAAUUCCUGGUGUAGCGGUGAAAUGCGCAGAUAUCAGGAGGAACACCGGUGGCGAAGGCGGGUCUCUGGGCCGAUACUGACGCUGAGGCACGAAAGCGUGGGGAGCAAACAGG